This 284-nucleotide unclassified non-coding RNA is filed under the name Hevea brasiliensis (rubber tree). Lineage: Eukaryota; Viridiplantae; Streptophyta; Magnoliopsida; Malpighiales; Euphorbiaceae. The record is from RNAcentral.
UGUAACCUGAAAUCGGAGAGUUGUGGUUGUGGAUAUAAUUGCAGGUUCCAGUUCAAUUUGGGCCGUUGGGCAGCUCCACGGGCAUGUGAGGAACGGCUUAUUCCUUCCACAUCUGUAACCAUAGCUACUAGAUACUGUUUGUUAGUUUUCUUUUUUCUUUCUUCCAUUUUGAUCGAAGAGAUUGGAGCUGGGCAUUUUCAGAGCCUAGACAGUAUGGGCUAUCUGAAUUCAGUCUUGUCUUGCUCGAGCCAGAUUCAUGCUGCUGAGGAGGCACCUGUAAGCGG